ACCAUUGUGAUGUGCUCACAGCUAAUGGUCAAGGAUAUUAUGCAACUAUGUUACAAGCACGUUACAAUGAAGAGCACAUGUAUUGGAUGACUAGACAAUCACCAAAUUCGCUUGUAGUUGGUACUGGUAUCUUUCUGAGUUUUGAGAGCAAAAGGUAAGAAAAUUUAUCUCAUCAUUGAUUCAUUUUCCUAUGAUCAAUAGUUUGUGUUAGAUUCACUUAAGAUAUUUAUUGUUAAUCUGUUCAAAGCAGUGAUAGCACAGUCUCUGUAAUUUGUAGUUGUUGUGUUCCUAAACUAGUUACAUUCCAUUUCAGGAAGAAAGGAGUUAUACUUCAAAGUUCAAACACACUGGAAAGUCACCUUGCCUGAAGGUAAAAAAAAAAAUACUUUUAUCAGUUGUGGAUCCGAUUGGAAAACUUUGGGUACGGAUGUGAACAUGUCUGAUCAAGCCACUUUUUCAUUCCAUUCAGA
Molecule: long non-coding RNA, 470 nt
Filed under: Solanum tuberosum (potato)
Lineage: Eukaryota; Viridiplantae; Streptophyta; Magnoliopsida; Solanales; Solanaceae
Description: long non-coding RNA (STUB_LNC005373)
Source: RNAcentral